AGGCAUGUGCACGCCCUGCUCAUCCACUCUACACCUGUGCACUUACUGUGGGUUUCAGAUUGCGUAGCGGGCCUUUGCGGGUUCGUGAAGCGGUCUGUGCCUGCGUUUAUUACAAACACUAUAAAGUAUCAGAAUGUGUAUCGCGAUGUAACGCAUCUAUAUACAACUUUCAGCAACGGAUCUCUUGGCUCUCGCAUCGAUGAAGAACGCAGCGAAAUGCGAUAAGUAAUGUGAAUUGCAGAAUUCAGUGAAUCAUCGAAUCUUUGAACGCACCUUGCGCUCCUUGGUAUUCCGAGGAGCAUGCCUGUUUGAGUGUCAUGAAAUCUUCAACCUAACAAGCUUUGCGGUUUGUUAGGCUUGGACUUGGAGGCUUUGUCGGNCUNACGGUCGGCUCCUCUUAAAUGCAUUAGCUUGGUUCCUUGCGGAUCGGCUCUCGGUGUGAUAAUUGUCUACGCCGCGACCGUGAAGCGUUUGGCGAGCUUCUAACCGUCUCNCAUGAGACAGCUUUAUGACCUCUGACCUCAAAUCAGGUAGGACUACCCGCUGAACUUAAGCAUAUCAAUAANCGGAGGA
Molecule: ribosomal RNA, 573 nt
Filed under: Perenniporia sp. OGP3
Lineage: Eukaryota; Fungi; Basidiomycota; Agaricomycetes; Polyporales; Polyporaceae
Description: eukaryotic LSU rRNA
Rfam family: 5.8S ribosomal RNA (bases 165-318)
Source: RNAcentral